GCGUAGGAGAGCGGAGUGAGGAGGAAUCUGCCUCCUGCCCUAUUAGCACUCCUAAUAAAAAGGGAAAAAAGUCUGUUUACCUAAUGGGCUAGUAGUAUAAGCCAUAGACUAACUUUAAAAAUGCACUUGAAGGAUUCGGGCAUCAGCAACAUGCAUCCAGAGCCAACUAGUUAGGAGAAAGGCACCGAUGUAUUGUGGACAUACGGCAUCCUUGUCUCCACCUGUGUCCUCAUCUCCACCCUCUUCCCAGAAUUCAGCAACCCUCACCUUGGAAACAAUACGCAUCAGUUCACCCACUGGACACGACGGGAAGUUGUCAGUCUGCAACCUGGAAGAGGGCCCUCACCAGAACCUAGCCGGAUCUCAGACUUCCAGCCUCCGGGACUGUGGAAACAUCUCUGCUUUGAUCGGCCUCCCAGUCUGUGGUGCUUUGUUAGAGCAGCCUGAGCUGACGCGGACACUAGUCUUCUCAGGGCUGUGGUAAAAUCUCUUUUAUACAAUAAAAGGUAUCUUUAUCUUUUAUACAAUAAAAGAUUUUCAAUGUGUGAUCAUUAAGGAGCCAUGAUCCUACCACCUCAGAAAACCCCAGAGUCACAGAAGGUUCCCAUUACGGGGACAGCAGCAUGGACCGUGUGAAGAACUCCAGCCUUACGAUCCGAGUCACAGGACCGCCAACUUUACUACUUCUGUGAACUCAGUCCUGACUUUAAGCUUCACUGUGCCUCCGUUUCCUCUUUUGAAAGAUGGAAAAACUACUGGCUAGGACAAGGGGCCUGAAG
Molecule: long non-coding RNA, 779 nt
Filed under: Equus asinus (donkey)
Lineage: Eukaryota; Metazoa; Chordata; Mammalia; Perissodactyla; Equidae
Description: lncRNA (ENSEASG00005025221.1)
Source: RNAcentral